This 219-nucleotide ribosomal RNA is filed under the name uncultured bacterium. RNAcentral describes it as "partial 16S ribosomal RNA". It matches the Rfam family "Bacterial small subunit ribosomal RNA", at positions 109 to 334 of the family's 1533-position model. The record is from RNAcentral.
AGGAACACAUGGGUACCUACCUUGAAGUGAGGGAUACCGGCGAGAAAUCGCCGACAAUACCGCAUACGCUUCGCAAGAAGCAAAGCUCCUUGAGAGAGGGGCGCUUUGGGAUGGGCCUGUGGCCGAUUAGCUAGCUGGUGGGGUAAGAGCUUACCAGGGCGACGAUCGGUAGCUGGUCUGAGAGGACGAUCAGCCACACUGGGAUUGAGAACGGCCCAG